GAGAAGAGCUGCUAUCCUGCAGAGGAUCACUAAGCCCCAGCACUGCACAGGAGAGAUUAAAUCCCAGGCAACCAGCGCCGACUCACACUGCAGGGCGGGGCUCGUGAGGACCCGCCUUGUGUUCUUGGUUCCAGACAUUGGAAUCCACAACUGACUGGCACCCUUUGGCCCAAAGGGACUUCUGCUUGACUCAGAGACGGCUUUCGAUCAAUCCAGGGAAGCCUCACCUAGCUGACUUGGGGACUUAAGUUGGAUGCUGCAUCCCGACAAGGCCUCUCCUGACCUAGCCUGCAGAAGUUUGGAAUUCUUCCCCAUGUUUCCUCAGCCUCCUGCUCAGCACUACAGCCACACUGUAUCUGGUGGCACUGCCCAUUGACAGGCCUGAUCCUUCCACAGAUCAUCUAUGGUAGGCAUAAUUCUAUAGAUGCCCCACCCCAAAGAAAAAACUGCUGCCUCCGUGGAUGUUGAAUGAAUCACAGAUCUAGGGACUGUGAAGAAGCAGCUUUAUGGAUAUCAAGUC
Molecule: non-coding RNA, 520 nt
Organism: Peromyscus maniculatus bairdii (prairie deer mouse)
Lineage: Eukaryota; Metazoa; Chordata; Mammalia; Rodentia; Cricetidae
Source: RefSeq, a predicted model, not a curated record